Eptesicus fuscus (big brown bat) is the source of this 2101-nucleotide long non-coding RNA. RefSeq lists it as uncharacterized. NCBI's taxonomy places the organism in Eukaryota, Metazoa, Chordata, Mammalia, Chiroptera, Vespertilionidae. The transcript has 2 exons. The record is from RefSeq and is a predicted model, not a curated record.
GCCGGGGCCGUGGCUCGGGAAGGCCGGCUGCAGCGGGCACAGAAGGGCGCCCCGGAGCCGCCAGCGACACGGGAACCGGUCUGAGGAGGCGCUGGGCCGGAGGCGGGGCCGCACCGUCCGCGCAGUCCGGGAAGGCCCGGCCCGGAGGAGAGCCGGCGGCUGGGGGGGCCCGGGGCCCGGAGAAGGGUCCCCAGAGGCUGCGGGAAGCCGUCUCCUCCUCCGGAGAGGAGAUGCCAGACCGCCUCGCGCUCCUCGGAGAACGGCCAGACCCGUGGCUUUUCCUGCGCGUGUUUCCCACGCCGAGCACAGCCGGUGCGCACACGCCCGCCCGCCUGAGCGGGUGCCGUCUGCCUGUCGUGGGUGGUGGCCGCCAUCGGGCCGCUCCAGGAGCUCAGACACAGCCCUCCGAGCCCUGCGCAGCGGGGGGAGCCCAGUGAGCUGCCGGGACACCACGUGCGGAGCCUUAGGGCUCAGGUUCCGUCCACAGCAUCGCGGGGACAAAAUCGUGCUGGAGACCGCUGAGUUUUGGUGCAGUUUGACACACCGCGGGAGCUGACACGUGUUUACUAGGAAGAGCCAAGACAGUCCAAUGAGUCAAACCCCUGAGACGCCAGGGCCUCAGAGCAAAGGGUGGAAGGUGAGCAAGUGCGGCGGCGCAGAGGGAAGCGGCAUCACUGCGGAGGGGAAGGUCAAGCCAGUCCCUUGUAGAGGGCGCCCGGCCGCUUCCGGGGGCUCUGCACAGGCCUGACGGGCACAAGGUCAGAGGUGUCUGCUGAAGUGCACGGGCACCAGGCAGGCGGCUCUCCUGCUGGCUCAGCUCCAUUUCACCGGCUCCGGGCCCGGGCCAGGCGGCAGGCCAGCAGGCCCACCUGCGCUGCAUGCACAGCCCCGUGGCAGCCUGGCCACGGUCAGAGAGACCAGGGCAAAGGCUCUGCGUGAGGGGGGUGGGGUGGGGGAGGCUCCUGAUCUAGUGCUUUAGCCGCCGGGGCGGGUCCCAUUAUUGGUCCAUGGAGCAGGUUUCACUGACUGUGACAGGAAGCGAGCGGGGAACAGGGACAGACACCCUGAGCCGGGCCCUGGUGGACCGGGCCCCUACCUAACAGAAGGUUCAAUAGACAGUGCUCUCCUCCCCGAGGGAGCUUCGCUGGGGCUCCAGUGAGGAGGAAAAGGCUCUCCCGGGUGAAAAGUCCCCGGCCUCUGCUAUGGACUAAAUAUGGAUGUUCCCUCCCCGACUCAUGGUGAAACCUGACCCCCAAGGGGAUGGUAUUGGGAGGUGGGGCCUUGGGGAGGUGAUGAGGCCCGGAGGGUGCCCCUGUGAGAGGACCCUGCCCUCCAAACCGCUGAGGACGGCGACAGAUGCGGCUACGAACCAGAAAGUGGCCCUCGGGUCCCUGGAUGUGCCGGCCCCCUAAUCCCAGACUCCCAGCCCCCAGACUUCGAGGAACUCACUUCUCUUGUUGAUGUGCCACCAGGCCACGGCAUUUCUCUUUCUAACAGCCCAGAUGGACUAAGACAGCUUGUGAUUUGAGAAGGUUUGGGAUUAAAAUUUGGUUUUCAAAACAUCCAAGAAAUUAGCAUAAAUUCCGGUCAUUCUGGUGACGGUUCUGCAGCAUUUUGAAGAAGCGAACAUAAACCCUCGCCAGAGCUCCUGACCCACAGACUCAGCGCGGGGUGGGUGGGUGGAGGGAGUGUGGGGGGAGGCUGGCAACGUGCGAGAGGUCCUCGGGCUUCAGAUGAGGACGAAGGCCGCCGCCCACCUCUGAAAUCUCCUCAGAGCAACAAGUGAACCAGACCCAGAAACGCAGACAGCCUUCCCGUCCAGGUCGUUGGGCUGGCCCUUCCAAGGCAUGAGGGGUGAGGAAAAAGGUUCCCCACCCCCGACAGACUAAGGAGCAGCUUAAAGUCUGAACUGCAGAGUGAGGUAGGGAGGUGGCGGAGGACACGGGAUUCACUACAAAGAAGAAGUGGAGAUAAGCGUGCAGUGACCACGGAGCUGGCAGAGCAAGUAAAUGGCUGGAAGACAAAGAGCACGCUCUGAGAUUUAGAAUAAAAAACUCUUUUUUUCAAAAAAAAAUUUAAUAAAUCUUUAUUGUUCUGAUCA